This 253-nucleotide ribosomal RNA is filed under the name uncultured bacterium. RNAcentral describes it as "partial 16S ribosomal RNA". It matches the Rfam family "Bacterial small subunit ribosomal RNA", at positions 524 to 776 of the family's 1533-position model. The record is from RNAcentral.
GACGAACCGUGCGAACGUUGUUCGGAAUCACUGGGCUUAAAGGGCGCGUAGGCGGCCGUCCGAGUCCGGGGUGAAAUCUUUCGGCCUAACCGGAACAGGGCCCUGGAUACUGGACGGCUCGAGGGGGGUAGGGGCAAGCGGAACUUCCGGUGGAGCGGUGAAAUGCGUUGAUAUCGGAAGGAACGCCGGCGGCGAAAGCGGCUUGCUGGACCCCUCCUGACGCUGAGGCGCGAAAGCCAGGGGAGCGAACGGG